This 548-nucleotide ribosomal RNA is filed under the name Alternaria sp. AFT001. RNAcentral's name for it is "eukaryotic LSU rRNA". The stretch from base 207 to 360 matches the Rfam family "5.8S ribosomal RNA". Lineage: Eukaryota; Fungi; Ascomycota; Dothideomycetes; Pleosporales; Pleosporaceae. The record is from RNAcentral.
CGAACAAGGUCUCCGUAGGUGAACCUGCGGAGGGAUCAUUACACAAAUAUGAAGGCGGGCUGGAACCUCUCGGGGUUACAGCCUUGCUGAAUUAUUCACCCUUGUCUUUUGCGUACUUCUUGUUUCCUUGGUGGGUUCGCCCACCACUAGGACAAACAUAAACCUUUUGUAAUUGCAAUCAGCGUCAGUAACAAAUUAAUAAUUACAACUUUCAACAACGGAUCUCUUGGUUCUGGCAUCGAUGAAGAACGCAGCGAAAUGCGAUAAGUAGUGUGAAUUGCAGAAUUCAGUGAAUCAUCGAAUCUUUGAACGCACAUUGCGCCCUUUGGUAUUCCAAAGGGCAUGCCUGUUCGAGCGUCAUUUGUACCCUCAAGCUUUGCUUGGUGUUGGGCGUCUUGUCUCUAGCUUUGCUGGAGACUCGCCUUAAAGUAAUUGGCAGCCGGCCUACUGGUUUCGGAGCGCAGCACAAGUCGCACUCUCUAUCAGCAAAGGUCUAGCAUCCACUAAGCCUUUUUUUCAACUUUGACCUCGGAUCAGGUAGCUGCUGU